RNAcentral lists this ribosomal RNA (469 nucleotides) under uncultured bacterium. Its description in RNAcentral is "bacterial SSU rRNA". It matches the Rfam family "Bacterial small subunit ribosomal RNA", at positions 28 to 507 of the family's 1533-position model. The record is from RNAcentral.
GAUGAACGCUAGCGGCAGGCCUAAUACAUGCAAGUCGAACGGUGUCUUCGGACAUAGUGGCGCACGGGUGCGUAACACGUAUGCAACCUACCUUACAUUGGGGGAUAGCCUUUCGAAAGGGAGAUUAAUACCGCAUAAGACAGUAGCUGGGCAUCCAGCAGCUGUUAAAGAUUUAUCGAUGUAAGCUGGGCAUGCGUCCAAUUAGCUAGUUGGUGAGGUAACGGCUCACCAAGGCAAUGAUUGGUAGGGGAACUGAGAGGUCAAUCCCCCACACUGGCACUGAGAUACGGGCCAGACUCCUACGGGAGGCAGCAGUAGGGAAUAUUGGGCAAUGGACGCAAGUCUGACCCAGCCAUGCCGCGUGCAGGAUGAAGGCGUUAUGCGUUGUAAACUGCUUUUAUACAGGAAGAAACGACCCUUGCGAGAGGCAUUGACGGUACUGUAUGAAUAAGCACCGGCUAACUCCGUG